UGAACAGUAGCAUCUUAUCAAUUCUGAGUGGGCUUUCAUCCCUCAAGUCUUUGGAUCUAUCAUUAAAUAAGUUGACAGGAUCAGGUUGGUGUGAAUUGAAGAAUUUGAAGCAGUUAGAUCUCUCCGGAAAUAAUUUUAGAGGUUCACUCCCAGAUUGUUUGGGAAACUUGUCAUCUCUACAACUAUUAGAUGUUUCUAGUAACCAAUUUACUGGAAAUAUUGCCUCCGGUCCUCUUACCAAUCUCAUAUCCAUUGAAUCCCUCUCACUAUCAAAUAACCUCUUUGAAGUUCCCAUUUCAAUGAAGCCUUUUAUGAACCACUCAAGCCUCAAGUUCUUCUCCAGUGAGAACAACAGACUAGUAACAAAACCCAUGUACUUUCAUGAUUUGAUUCCAAAGUUCCAACUAGUCUUUUUCCGCUUUU
Long non-coding RNA from Populus euphratica (Euphrates poplar), 423 nucleotides. RefSeq lists it as uncharacterized. The transcript is spliced from 2 exons. The record is from RefSeq and is a predicted model, not a curated record. Lineage: Eukaryota; Viridiplantae; Streptophyta; Magnoliopsida; Malpighiales; Salicaceae.